GGCUCUUCGUUUAUUGUUGUUGGAUGGGGAGUCGGACCUGCCCGGUGAGUUUUUAACGGCCGCGGUACUCUGACCGUGCAAAGGUAGCAUAAUCAUUUGUCUUAUAAUUAAAGACUGGUAUGAAUGGUUUGACAAGAAUGCAGCUGUCUCUUUGUGAUUUGUUAGAAUUUUAUUUGUAGGUGAAGAAGCCUGUAUAGUAUUAAAAGACGAGAAGACCCUAUCGAGCUUAAAAGGAGUUGAUGGUUUAUAAUUUAAUAUUGGGUAAAAGAUAGGUCUAUUAUAGAUUUUGGUUGGGGCGACUAAGGAACAGGGAUAGCUUCCUUUAUUGUUUAUUUUCUAACUGGUGUUGAUCCAAGAGGUUUUGAUUAAAGGAAUUAGUUACCGUAGGGAUAACAGCAUUAUCUUUUUUAAGAGUUCCUAUCGAAAAAAAGGUUUGUGACCUCGAUGUUGGACCAGAAUGUCCUAAGGAUGUAGAAGUCUUUAAGGGUUGGUCUGUUCGACCAUUAAAAUUUUACG
RNAcentral lists this ribosomal RNA (516 nucleotides) under Tudivasum inerme. RNAcentral describes it as "partial 16S ribosomal RNA". It matches the Rfam family "Bacterial large subunit ribosomal RNA", at positions 1817 to 2600 of the family's 2925-position model. Lineage: Eukaryota; Metazoa; Mollusca; Gastropoda; Neogastropoda; Turbinellidae. The record is from RNAcentral.